Molecule: ribosomal RNA, 484 nt
Filed under: uncultured bacterium
Lineage: Bacteria
Description: partial 16S ribosomal RNA
Rfam family: Bacterial small subunit ribosomal RNA
Source: RNAcentral
AUUGAACGCUGGCGGCAGGCCUAACACAUGCAAGUCGAGCGGAUGAAGGGAGCUUGCUCCUGGAUUCAGCGGCGGACGGGUGAGUAAUGCCUAGGAAUCUGCCUGGUAGUGGGGGAUAACGUCCGGAAACGGGCGCUAAUACCGCAUACGUCCUGAGGGAGAAAGUGGGGGAUCUUCGGACCUCACGCUCUCAGAUGAGCCUAGGUCGGAUUAGCUAGUUGGUGGGGUAAAGGCCUACCAAGGCGACGAUCCGUAACUGGUCUGAGAGGAUGAUCAGUCACACUGGAACUGAGACACGGUCCAGACUCCUACGGGAGGCAGCAGUGGGGAAUAUUGGACAAUGGGCGAAAGCCUGAUCCAGCGAUGCCGCGUGUGUGAAGAAGGUCUUCGGAUUGUAAAGCACUUUAAGUUGGGAGGAAGGGCAGUAAGUUAAUACCUUGCUGUUUUGACGUUACCAACAGAAUAAGCACCGGCUAACUUCGUG